AGCAACUCCAAAAUGGAAGUACUAUUGUUAUCUCCGUUUACAAAUUAGGAAACUGAGGCACAGAUAUGCUCUUGGGUACUUGUCAGCAGCAGUUGUUCUACAAAUGAGCGUCUUAGCCUCUGGAUUACUGCUCAAUGAGGAAAGCUAUGAAAUGCAUGGAUAACUUGCUAAUCAGUAUUUGCCAUAUGUGCUAGCAGCAUCAGCAUCAGUUGGGAGAUUAUGGUGGCCUCCAUGUCAGACCUCCUAAAUCGGAAUAUCAGAGAAGGUGGCCCAGGUUACCAUGCUUCAUCUGCCAAUGCAUUGAAAACUUGGAAUGUAAAUUAAUUCAACCAUUGUGGAAGAUGGUGUAGUGAUUCCUCAAAGACCUAGAAGCAGAAAUAUCAUUUGAUCCAGAAAUCCCAUUACUGUGUAUACACCCAAAGGAAUAUAAACCAUUCUAUUACAAA
RNAcentral lists this long non-coding RNA (446 nucleotides) under Homo sapiens (human). RNAcentral describes it as "novel transcript". Lineage: Eukaryota; Metazoa; Chordata; Mammalia; Primates; Hominidae. The record is from RNAcentral.